RNAcentral lists this microRNA (21 nucleotides) under Macaca mulatta (Rhesus monkey). RNAcentral describes it as "mml-miR-1255a-5p". Lineage: Eukaryota; Metazoa; Chordata; Mammalia; Primates; Cercopithecidae. The record is from miRBase by way of RNAcentral.
AGGAUGAGCAAUGGAAGUAGU